UACGAAGGGGGCUAGCGUUGCUCGGAAUUACUGGGCGUAAAGGGCGCGUAGGCGGAUGUUUAAGUCGGGGGGUGAAAGCCCGGGGCUCAACCUCGGAAUUGCCUUCGAUACUGGACAUCUUGAGUACGGGAGAGGUGAGUGGAACUCCGAGUGUAGAGGUGAAAUUCGUAGAUAUUCGGAAGAACACCAGUGGCGAAGGCGACUCACUGGCCCGUUACUGACGCUGAGGCGCGAAAGCGUGGGGGAGCAAACAGG
Molecule: ribosomal RNA, 255 nt
Filed under: uncultured bacterium
Lineage: Bacteria
Description: partial 16S ribosomal RNA
Rfam family: Bacterial small subunit ribosomal RNA
Source: RNAcentral